This 219-nucleotide long non-coding RNA is filed under the name Elaeis guineensis (African oil palm). RNAcentral's name for it is "long non-coding RNA (EGUI_LNC009898)". The record is from RNAcentral. Lineage: Eukaryota; Viridiplantae; Streptophyta; Magnoliopsida; Arecales; Arecaceae.
AGUGGUUGAAGGAAUGCCGAGCAGCAUUUGAAGAGCCCAAGCGAUACCUCGAAUCACCCAUGCUAUUCUCCAAACUGACAGCAAGUGAAGACUUAUAUCUAUAUUUAUCGGUCUCACCUAUUGUCAUUAGCUUGAUGCUCACCUGAAAGGAUGUAGGGAACCAAAGGCCAAUCUACUAUACCGAUAAAAUACUUUAAGACAUCAAAACAAGAUGCUUGA